AAGACACCGCGAGCGCGCCACACACAGUGUCUGGAAAUGAUGGGGUUAAGGCGGGAGAGCUUCGCGGAGGAGGUGAGGCUUAAAACGGGCAGGCUGUUCCGGCCGGGGAGAGUGCGACUAGGUUCGCGCCAGAUUUGCGGGGCGGCGUGCGCAAAGGGAUGGUAUUGAGCGGAGAAGCAGAGCAGAAAAUCCAGCCUGCACGUCCUAGGCGCCGGCCUACGCCCACGCGCGCCUGGGGCCACUGUCUGCCUUCCCUGUGCGAUGGUGUCUGGACCAAUGGGGGCGCUCUCUUUCUAACCUCCCCAGUGGUCUUGAGGGCCUCAGCUUGCGUCUCAGGAGGACAAACUGAGGAGAGCCACCAGGCAAGGUCACCUUGUUGGCCCACGUCAGAGCCAAGGUGGAAAUUAUGUCCCUGUCCAGCUAAGCCAGCGAGCUUAUCAUGCCGACCGCCGUCGGUUUUCUAAAUUCGCUGCUUGCCCUGGAGUUCCCCUGAUUCCAAUCGCGCUGGUGCUGGAGUGGCCAAAGAGCAAGAUGCUGCACUUCAGAGAUGGCUAUACUAGCCUCGCCCCCAGCGACCCGGGCGAGCUCCAGAAUGGGGAACCGAUUUAGACACGCCUGGGUCGAUGACGACAACAGGGAACAAGACAACAAUGGCUUCCUCUGGGGAUUUCCCUUCCUGGGCAGCCCGUAGCGCGCACAGAGCAUUCCGGACUGCCCUGGAGGGGGCGCGGAUAUUGGCACGUGCCGGACCCGCCACCGGGUGGGAAGCCAGCAGGCCUGGAAGUGAAAGGAACGUCGGAGCGGAUGGAUGACAGCCUCACUGUGUAUCUGGCUGCCGAAUACACCGCCUCCAGAGCCAGCAGGGGGAAGACCUACAGUUGCCUUCGCUUGGGAAGCUACCUAAGAAAAGCUUGGCAGUAAACCCCUUGUUUGUGCCUGUUUCUCUGGGAGCCACCAAGAGGCCCUACCGGAAUUUUCACAUGGUCUGUAUGGAUGACAGACAUGGGGGAUCAUGCUGUAUGUACUUGGAGACGAUGUUGGAAGGUCAGCCUAAGGCUGGUGUCCCUUAAUGGAACUGUCAAGUUUGGUCAACAUGCCUCCUACCCACCCCCUCCACUGCCACCCUAGCUGGGGAUCACCUGAUGGGUGAAGCAGACAUGCUCCCUCUCCUAAUAAUUUCUAGAGAGUUCUCUUCUAUGGUUGUUUGUUAAAGCAGUGCAAUACUGCAAUACUGAUUCGCGGACAUGUCCAGCUACCUGCCCUGCUGUGCCCUCUCUAGGAAUCUUCCCCUAAGGUGACUCGUUCAUUUCUUAGUCCCAAAGGCUCAAGAGAUGCAGGAAGCUAUAGAUGUCCCCAGGAGGACAAUUCAGAGCCAGAUUCCGGAGGGCCUCUGUCAGAACAGACUAGAAACUGCAGGGUAUCCAGGUUAAAAGUCCACCCUGGACCAGCUCCCAUCGGGAGUGGAAGUAUUGAAGUCAGGAUUAAAGCUGGGCUCAGGCAAAAUUUGCAAUCUAAGCAUGCUGUGCCCCAGCGCCCCACUAGUGGCUGCCACAUGGUCCUCAAUUAAGCCAUUCCAAACAGGAGAAGUGGGCUGAGGCUGCAGCAGCGCAGAGGAGGCGGGCUCAUAGUUGGUAAUAAAGAGGAUGACAAGAGCCUGCAAUUUAAAUCUCCUCUGCCCCAGGGAGCCUUCCCUGGCUCUUAACUAGGUCAGGUCUCACACGAAACACCCUCCUUCCUGUAUCUACUGACGCCUGGACAUACACCACCCUGAACUGUAACUGCCAUUUAACAACUGUUUGAUUCUUCACCAAGCUCCAGGGAUUUUUUUUUCCCUACUUCACUGCCAGCCUAUUUUCUCUCCUUGUUGCCCCUUGUCUUCUCCAUCUUUUAAUGAUGGAUAAGCCCAGGACUUGGCACUCACUCCUAUGGUGCUAUCCUAUGGCCUCAAGCCUUUAAAUAGUACCGAGUAACAACAGACAGCCAUGGCCAUGGAGGCCAGAUGUGGGAUGCUGAGGAACCAUCAUCCUAUUCUAUUUUAUGUUUGAAAUUUAUUUUAAAAGAAUCCAAGUAAAUGGCAUCUACGAAUGAUGGUUCCCUCCAAACUCCCUCCCCGGUGUCAUCUUGAUGUCUCAAGUGUCUUGCAGGGGGUGCCUCAGGUUUUAUAAAGUUAAAACUGUGAUGGUUUGUUUAUGCUCAGCCCAGGAAGUGGCACUAUUAGAAAGUGUGGCCCUGUUGGAGUAGGUGUGUCACUGUGGGUGUGGGCUUGAAGCCCCUCAUCCUAGCUGCCUGGAAGCCAGUAUUCUGCUAGUAGCCUUCAGAUGAAGAUGUAGAACUCUCAGCUCCUCCUGCACCAUGCCUGCCUGGAUGCUGCCGUGUUCCUACCUUGCUAACGGACUGAACCUCUGAACCUGUAAGCCAGUCCCAAUUAAAUGUUGUCUUUAUAAG
Mus musculus (house mouse) is the source of this 2445-nucleotide long non-coding RNA. RefSeq annotates it as predicted gene 9924. The transcript has a single exon. Lineage: Eukaryota; Metazoa; Chordata; Mammalia; Rodentia; Muridae. The record is from RefSeq and is marked validated.